RNAcentral lists this ribosomal RNA (468 nucleotides) under uncultured bacterium. Its description in RNAcentral is "partial 16S ribosomal RNA". It matches the Rfam family "Bacterial small subunit ribosomal RNA", at positions 28 to 507 of the family's 1533-position model. The record is from RNAcentral.
GACGAACGCUGGCGGCGUGCUUAACACAUGCAAGUCGAACGGAAAGGCCCUGCUUUUGUGGGGUGCUCGAGUGGCGAACGGGUGAGUAACACGUGAGUAACCUGCCCUUGACUUUGGGAUAACUUCUGGAAACUGGGGCUAAUACCGGAUAGGAGCUCCUGCUGCAUGGUGGGGGUUGGAAAGUUUCGGCGGUUGGGGAUGGACUCGCGGGUUAUCAGCUUGUUGGGGGGGUAGUGGCUUACCAAGGCUUUGACGGAUAGCCGGCCUGAGAGGGUGACCGGCGACAAUGGGACUGCGAUACGGCCCAGAAUCGUACGGGCGGCAGCAGGCGGGAAUAUUGCAGAAUGGGCGGAAGCCUGAUGCGGCGACGCCGCGUGCGGAAUGCCGGCCUACGGGUGGUAAACCGCUUUCGACUGUGACGAAGCGGGAGUGACGGUAAUGGGUAAAGAAGCACCGGCUAACUACGUG